CUCAUUUUCAGUGCUGCUCAGUGCCCCUACUGCCAGCGCCCUCUGUUUCCCAGUUCCCCAAGAGUGCCGUUGAUCAUGCCUCUAAACCCCACCACCACCUUCCAGUGUCCCCAGUUCCCACAGUUCCUGCCAGCCCAAGAACUGCACUGAGUCCAGUCUCCUCUUUCUCCAAGGGCCUGGAAAAGUGCCAGGGACAACGGUGCUUGGAGAGCCCCGCUCUGAGGCAAGAUACUGGCGCAUGGGGAGCCCUGGGGGUUUGACUGGACAGGCAGAAAUGAGGCAGAGGCAGGUGGGGGGCACAGGCAGACCGACCGGUAGGAGGUGAGGCACUGCCCCUCACCCCCUGAUGCCUGGAUGGAGCUGCCCCAUGGAGCUGCCCCACGCAGGAAGCUGGCCUGGUGCCAGGGAAGGUGGCUGGCUGAGUGCCGGGACGGGGGUCAGUCUGUGCCAGGGCUGGGCUCGUUGCCAGGACUGGUGUCCCUGCCAAACCCAGCUUUGCCCCGGAGGCUCUUCGGGGAGACAGGAGGAGCCCUGGCAGGAAUAAAUCUUGCCCCUCACCUUCUCCUGCUUCACUCAAGACUCACCAGACCACAGAGGAAGAUGAAGGUCGCUGUGCUCAGUGUGGCCCUGCUCAUCGCCGUCCUGUGCCACCCGGCAGAUGCGCAGGUACGGGUGGCUCUUCAGCCCCCAGAAUCAUCUGUGGUGGCCUUGGACCAGGUGGUAAGUGCUCACGUGGCCCCUCAGGUCUCACUCUGGGCAAUAGGACCCCAAAGAGGUGACCUUCCAGAGCUCUCUGGCCAGACUGGGCUGGGAUACCUCCCCCAGCUGACAGCUGUCAACUCUCUUGCAAAAGAAACCCGCAGUGGUGAGCCUCAAACCUCCUUGCUUUGCUUCUCCCUUUGCCAAGCAAGGGGCUGGCAAAGUCUCUAACCCCCUCCCUUUGGGUACCCAAAUUCCCCACACUCUCCUUGUCCCCCAUCCCCAACACUGGUGUCCCUGCAUGGACAGACAUCCCAGAGAAGCCUUAGGAGCAGUGAGGCUAUGGGGAGCACCCGCACCAAGCCAAGGGGAGGGGUGGACAGCAAAAACCUGGGACUACCCAACCCCACAACCCAACCCCACCCCACCCCCACCGAGCUCCAUUCACGACCGCCUCAUGGCUUUUCUUCCCUAGGACGCGGCAGAUGUUGAUCUGACAGCAAAUGAAGAUGUUGCCGUGUCAGUGAGUAGCGGGGUGACCCUGGGGUUGGCCAGGCUGGGCAAGCGGAGCGUUGUGCUGUCCCUUCUCAUUCCUCAUGGCAUGUGGGGACAUCCCUGUGACCUACCAGGUCUCUCGUGGGCUCCCUCCUGCUGCAGGUGGACA
RNAcentral lists this long non-coding RNA (1363 nucleotides) under Anser brachyrhynchus (Pink-footed goose). RNAcentral's name for it is "lncRNA (ENSABRG00000001029.1)". The record is from RNAcentral. Lineage: Eukaryota; Metazoa; Chordata; Aves; Anseriformes; Anatidae.